RNAcentral lists this ribosomal RNA (487 nucleotides) under uncultured bacterium. Its description in RNAcentral is "bacterial SSU rRNA". It matches the Rfam family "Bacterial small subunit ribosomal RNA", at positions 30 to 512 of the family's 1533-position model. The record is from RNAcentral.
AUUGAACGCUGGCGGCAUGCCUUACACAUGCAAGUCGAACGGUAACAGAUCUUCGGAUGCUGACGAGUGGCGAACGGGUGAGUAAUAUAUCGGAACGUGCCCAGUCGUGGGGGAUAACGCAGCGAAAGCUGUGCUAAUACCGCAUACGAUCUAUGGAUGAAAGCGGGGGAUCGCAAGACCUCGCGCGAUUGGAGCGGCCGAUAUCAGAUUAGGUAGUUGGUGGGGUAAAGGCCCACCAAGCCAACGAUCUGUAGCUGGUCUGAGAGGACGACCAGCCACACUGGAACUGAGACACGGUCCAGACUCCUACGGGAGGCAGCAGUGGGGAAUUUUGGACAAUGGGCGCAAGCCUGAUCCAGCAAUGCCGCGUGCAGGAUGAAGGCCUUCGGGUUGUAAACUGCUUUUGUACGGAACGAAAAGGCUCUGGUUAAUACCUGGGGCUCAUGACGGUACCGUAAGAAUAAGCACCGGCUAACUACGUGCCACG